CCUACGGGAGGCAGCAGUGGGGAAUAUUGGACAAUGGGCGCAAGCCUGAUCCAGCAAUGCCGCGUGAGUGAUGAAGGCCUUAGGGUCGUAAAGCUCUUUUACCAGGGAUGAUAAUGACAGUACCUGGAGAAUAAGCUCCGGCUAACUCCGUGCCAGCAGCCGCGGUAAUACGGAGGGAGCUAGCGUUGUUCGGAAUUACUGGGCGUAAAGCGUACGUAGGCGGUUAUUCAAGUCAGAGGUGAAAGCCCGGGGCUCAACCCCGGAACGGCCUUUGAAACUAGGUAGCUAGAAUCUUGGAGAGGUCAGUGGAAUUCCGAGUGUAGAGGUGAAAUUCGUAGAUAUUCGGAAGAACACCAGUGGCGAAGGCGACUGACUGGACAAGUAUUGACGCUGAGGUACGAAAGCGUGGGGAGCAAACAGGAUUAGAUACCCUGGUAGUCCACGCCGUAAACGAUGAUAACUAGCUGUUCGGGCACUUGGUGCUUGAGUGGCGCAGCUACGACAUUAAGUUAUCCGUCCGUCGGGUAGGUACGGUCGGCGAAGAAGUUAAACUAACGAAAGGAAAGUUAGUAACGGUCGUGUUAGACGUGCCGAACGGACGACGACGAGGGGAGGAGG
RNAcentral lists this ribosomal RNA (618 nucleotides) under uncultured bacterium. Its description in RNAcentral is "bacterial SSU rRNA". The stretch from base 1 to 518 matches the Rfam family "Bacterial small subunit ribosomal RNA", at positions 338 to 873 of the family's 1533-position model. The record is from RNAcentral.